Molecule: ribosomal RNA, 1191 nt
Filed under: human gut metagenome
Description: bacterial SSU rRNA
Rfam family: Bacterial small subunit ribosomal RNA
Source: RNAcentral
GACACGGCCCAAACUCCUACGGGAGGCAGCAGUAGGGAAUUUUCGUCAAUGGGGGGAACCCUGAACGAGCAAUGCCGCGUGAGUGAAGAAGGUCUUCGGAUCGUAAAGCUCUGUUGUAAGAGAAAAACGGACUCCAUAGGGAAUGAUGGAGGAGUGAUGGUAUCUUACCAGAAAGCCACGGCUAACUACGUGCCAGCAGCCGCGGUAAUACGUAGGUGGCGAGCGUUAUCCGGAAUCAUUGGGCGUAAAGGGUGCGUAGGUGGCACGAUAAGUCUGUAGUAAAAGGCAGCGGCUCAACCGCUGUUGGCUAUGGAAACUGUCGAGCUGGAGUGCAGAAGAGGGCGAUGGAAUUCCAUGUGUAGCGGUAAAAUGCGUAGAUAUAUGGAGGAACACCAGUGGCGAAGGCGGCCGCCUGGUCUGCAACUGACACUGAAGCACGAAAGCGUGGGGAGCAAAUAGGAUUAGAUACCCUAGUAGUCCACGCCGUAAACGAUGAGAACUAAGUGUUGGGGAAACUCAGUGCUGCAGUUAACGCAAUAAGUUCUCCGCCUGGGGAGUAUGCACGCAAGUGUGAAACUCAAAGGAAUUGACGGGGGCCCGCACAAGCGGUGGAGUAUGUGGUUUAAUUCGAAGCAACGCGAAGAACCUUACCAGGCCUUGACAUGGAGAUAAAGGCCCUGGAGACAGGGAGAUAGAUAUAUCUCACACAGGUGGUGCAUGGUUGUCGUCAGCUCGUGUCGUGAGAUGUUGGGUUAAGUCCCGCAACGAGCGCAACCCUUGUCGCAUGUUACCAGCAUCAAGUUGGGGACUCAUGCGAGACUGCCGGUGACAAACCGGAGGAAGGUGGGGAUGACGUCAAAUCAUCAUGCCCCUUAUGGCCUGGGCUACACACGUACUACAAUGGCGGUUACAAAGGGCAGCGACCCUGUGAGGGGGAGCGAAUCCCGGAAAGACCGUCUCAGUUCGGAUUGAAGUCUGCAACCCGACUUCAUGAAGCUGGAAUCGCUAGUAAUCGCGAAUCAGCAUGUCGCGGUGAAUACGUUCUCGGGCCUUGUACACACCGCCCGUCAAACCAUGGGAGUUGGCAAUACCCGAAGCCGGUGGCAUAACCAAAUGGAGUGAGCCGUCGAAGGUAGGGCCGAUGACUGGGGUUAAGUCGUAACAAGGUAUCCCUACGGGAACGUGGGGAUG